UAGGGAAUCUUCCACAAUGGACGAAAGUCUGAUGGAGCAACGCCGCGUGAGUGAUGAAGGGUUUCGGCUCGUAAAACUCUGUUGUUGGAGAAGAACAGGUGAUAGAGUAACUGUUAUCAUCUUGACGGUAUCCAACCAGAAAGCCACGGCUAACUACGUGCCAGCAGCCGCGGUAAUACGUAGGUGGCAAGCGUUGUCCGGAUUUAUUGGGCGUAAAGCGAGCGCAGGCGGUUUUUUAGGUCUGAUGUGAAAGCCUUCGGCUUAACCGGAGAAGGGCAUCGGAAACCGGGAGACUUGAGUGCAGAAGAGGACAGUGGAACUCCAUGUGUAGCGGUGAAAUGCGUAGAUAUAUGGAAGAACACCAGUGGCGAAGGCGGCUGUCUGGUCUGUAACUGACGCUGAGGCUCGAAAGCAUGGGUAGCGAACAGGAUUAGAUACCCUGGUAGUCCAUGCCGUAAACGAUGAGUGCUAAGUGUUGGAGGGUUUCCGCCCUUCAGUGCUGCAGCUAACGCAUUAAGCAC
This 521-nucleotide ribosomal RNA is filed under the name uncultured bacterium. Its description in RNAcentral is "partial 16S ribosomal RNA". It matches the Rfam family "Bacterial small subunit ribosomal RNA", at positions 355 to 867 of the family's 1533-position model. The record is from RNAcentral.